CGUUUUAAAAGACAACGUGUAAUUUUUUUUAGAUUAUACGCAAAAACUAUAAUAUCUUUUUUUUUUUUUUUUUUUGUGUGUGUGUUUCUAAACUAAAUCGUUUUCAAACAAGUGUCUCCACCGUGCGUGUACUCAAAAUAUUAUCGAUAUCAUACAAUUUACGUGAGUAUGGUAAUCGUAUUUGAUCAUAUUCAGAUUCAUAAUUUAGACAAAAGCACAAUACGGAAGCCUUCUGAUUUCGU
Cinara cedri is the source of this 242-nucleotide non-coding RNA. Lineage: Eukaryota; Metazoa; Arthropoda; Insecta; Hemiptera; Aphididae. The record is from the annotation of a GenBank genome assembly.